GAUUUUGUAGCUCAGUUGGAUAGAGCGUCUGCCUACGAAGCAGAGGGUCGAAGGUUCAAAUCCUUCCAAAAUCA
This 74-nucleotide transfer RNA is filed under the name Flavobacterium sp. LC2016-01. RNAcentral's name for it is "tRNA-Arg". It matches the Rfam family "tRNA". Rfam says of the family: Transfer RNA (tRNA) molecules are approximately 80 nucleotides in length. Their secondary structure includes four short double-helical elements and three loops (D, anti-codon, and T loops). Further hydrogen bonds mediate the characteristic L-shaped molecular structure. tRNAs have two regions of fundamental functional importance: the anti-codon, which is responsible for specific mRNA codon recognition, and the 3' end, to which the tRNAs corresponding amino acid is attached (by aminoacyl-tRNA synthetases). tRNAs cope with the degeneracy of the genetic code in two manners: having more than one tRNA (with a specific anti-codon) for a particular amino acid; and 'wobble' base-pairing, i.e. permitting non-standard base-pairing at the 3rd anti-codon position. Lineage: Bacteria; Pseudomonadati; Bacteroidota; Flavobacteriia; Flavobacteriales; Flavobacteriaceae. The record is from RNAcentral.